Molecule: ribosomal RNA, 351 nt
Filed under: uncultured prokaryote
Description: partial 16S ribosomal RNA
Source: RNAcentral
CCCUACGGGGUGCAGCAGGCAGAGGGGGACUCAUUGCCGUCUCUGCAGAAGGAGCCGUCUGGCACCGGGAACAGGUACCCGUUUCAUCCGAUCUCUUGGCGGUCGUGUUCGUAGGCGACACGUACGUGGUCGUUGGAGCAAGCGGCCCUGUUCUCACAUCCAGCGACGGGAGCCGCUGGACACAACGGCAGACGGGGACGAGAUCUGCACUUUUUGGUGUAGCAGCCCAAUCCGUAACCAUCCUUGCCACGGGUGACAACGGCGUUACGCUCAUCUCCCCCGAUGCGAUUCACUGGUCCUCCGUCCCCACGACCAGUCACGAGUGGCUGUACGGGUGUGCGGCGGGGGAGC